UGGCUCAGAACGAACGCUGGCGGCAGGCUUAACACAUGCAAGUCGAACGCCCCGCAAGGGGAGUGGCAGACGGGUGAGUAACGCGUGGGAAUCUACCGUACCCUACGGAAUAACGCAUGGAAACGUGUGCUAAUACCGUAUACGCCCUUCGGGGGAAAGAUUUAUCGGGGUAUGAUGAGCCCGCGUUGGAUUAGCUAGUUGGUGGGGUAARGGCCUACCAAGGCGACGAUCCAUAGCUGGUCUGAGAGGAUGAUCAGCCACAUUGGGACUGAGACACGGCCCAAACUCCUACGGGAGGCAGCAGUGGGGAAUAUUGGACAAUGGGCGCAAGCCUGAUCCAGCCAUGCCGCGUGAGUGAUGAAGGCCCUAGGGUUGUAAAGCUCUUUCACCGGUGAAGAUAAUGAC
RNAcentral lists this ribosomal RNA (405 nucleotides) under Rhizobium sp. R-39528. RNAcentral describes it as "bacterial SSU rRNA". It matches the Rfam family "Bacterial small subunit ribosomal RNA", at positions 20 to 455 of the family's 1533-position model. Lineage: Bacteria; Pseudomonadati; Pseudomonadota; Alphaproteobacteria; Hyphomicrobiales; Rhizobiaceae. The record is from RNAcentral.